AGGGCUUGUAGUUUAUUUUUAGAAUAGUCGGCUUCGGAUCGAACGGUGGGAAAAUUAUCCUCAGGUCUU
Molecule: transfer RNA, 69 nt
Filed under: Anadara cornea
Lineage: Eukaryota; Metazoa; Mollusca; Bivalvia; Arcoida; Arcidae
Description: tRNA-Arg
Source: RNAcentral